UAUUUCUUUAGUAUACAAGUACAAAUGCCUUCCAAGCAUGGGGCCCCCACACGGGAAGAAAUAA
This 64-nucleotide transfer RNA is filed under the name Gloydius changdaoensis. RNAcentral's name for it is "Gloydius saxatilis changdaoensis tRNA-Gly". Lineage: Eukaryota; Metazoa; Chordata; Lepidosauria; Squamata; Viperidae. The record is from RNAcentral.